RNAcentral lists this ribosomal RNA (253 nucleotides) under uncultured bacterium. RNAcentral's name for it is "partial 16S ribosomal RNA". It matches the Rfam family "Bacterial small subunit ribosomal RNA", at positions 524 to 776 of the family's 1533-position model. The record is from RNAcentral.
UACGUAGGGUGCAAGCGUUGUCCGGAAUUAUUGGGCGUAAAGAGCUCGUAGGCGGUCUGUCGCGUCGGCUGUGAAAUCCCGAGGCUCAACCUCGGGUCUGCAGUCGAUACGGGCAAACUUGAGUGUUGCAGGGGAGACUGGAAUUCCUGGUGUAGCGGUGAAAUGCGCAGAUAUCAGGAGGAACACCGGUGGCGAAGGCGGUUCUCUGGGCAUGACCUGACGCUGAGGAGCGAAAGUGUGGGGAGCGAACAGG